AUUACUAUAUAAAUUCUUUUAAAUGUACUUUUAGACUUAUAAUCUUUUAUUCAGAAUCCAUGUACUUCACAACAUCAACUUGUAAAGGAGGGACUGAUGGAGAUUGUAAAGCAGUUAAAUUAUAUCCCUCAGAGUUACAUGGGCGAGACUGUGAAAACGUAUUCACACCUACAUUUGGGGGAGUGUUACAAUUGAGGACAGACCCCGCCAUGAACAAGGGAACAGCUGUAAUGGAGACUAGGAAGAUGUAUAAAUAUUAUCACGAGGGAAAUUAUUUGUAACAGAAGAUGACAA
RNAcentral lists this long non-coding RNA (294 nucleotides) under Mytilus galloprovincialis (Mediterranean mussel). Lineage: Eukaryota; Metazoa; Mollusca; Bivalvia; Mytilida; Mytilidae. The record is from RNAcentral.